GAUGAAGAACGCAGCGAAAUGCGAUAAGUAAUGUGAAUUGCAGAAUUCAGUGAAUCAUCGAAUCUUUGAACGCACAUUGCGCCCGCCAGUAUUCUGGCGGGCAUGCCUGUUCGAGCGUCAUUUCAACCAUCAAGCCCCCGGCUUGUGUUGGGGACCUGCGGCUGCCGCAGGCCCUGAAAAGCAGUGGCGGGCUCGCUGUCACACCGGGCGUAGUAGCAUACAUCUCGCUCUGGGCGUGCUGCGGGUUCCGGCCGUUAAACCACCUUCAUAACCCAAGGUUGACCUCGGAUCAGGUAGGAAGACCCGCUGAACUUAAGCAUAUCAAUAAGCGGAGGA
Molecule: unclassified non-coding RNA, 336 nt
Filed under: soil metagenome
Description: partial contains 5.8S ribosomal RNA, internal transcribed spacer 2, and large subunit ribosomal RNA
Rfam family: 5.8S ribosomal RNA (bases 1-120)
Source: RNAcentral